GGGACCCGCACAAGCGGUGGAGCAUGUGGUUUAAUUCGACGAUACACGAAGAACCUUACCUGGACUUGACAUAGUAAGAAUGAUUUAGAGAUAGAUUAGUGUCUGCUUGCAGAAACUUGCAUACAGGUGCUGCACGGCUGUCGUCAGCUCGUGUCGUGAGAUGUUGGGUUAAGUCCCGCAACGAGCGCAACCCUCGUCCUUAGUUGCUAA
RNAcentral lists this ribosomal RNA (210 nucleotides) under Aliarcobacter butzleri. RNAcentral describes it as "Arcobacter butzleri partial 16S ribosomal RNA". It matches the Rfam family "Bacterial small subunit ribosomal RNA", at positions 916 to 1121 of the family's 1533-position model. Lineage: Bacteria; Pseudomonadati; Campylobacterota; Epsilonproteobacteria; Campylobacterales; Arcobacteraceae. The record is from RNAcentral.